This 254-nucleotide ribosomal RNA is filed under the name uncultured bacterium. Its description in RNAcentral is "partial 16S ribosomal RNA". It matches the Rfam family "Bacterial small subunit ribosomal RNA", at positions 524 to 776 of the family's 1533-position model. The record is from RNAcentral.
UACGGGGGGAGCAAGCGUUGUUCGGAUUUACUGGGCGUAAAGGGCGCGUAGGCGGCCACCGCAAGUCGGUUGUGAAAUCUCUGGGCUUAACCCAGAAAGGUCAACCGAUACUGCGGGGCUAGAGUGCAGAAGGGGCAACUGGAAUUCUCGGUGUAGCGGUGAAAUGCGUAGAUAUCAGGAAGAACACCCGUGGCGAAGGCGGCUCUCUGGGACGGUACUGACGCUGAGACGCGAAAGCGUGGGGAGCGAACAGG